AAAGUCUGACGGAGCAACGCCGCGUGAGUGAUGAAGGUUUUCGGAUCGUAAAACUCUGUUGUUAGGGAAGAACAAGUACCGUUCGAAUAGGGCGGUACCUUGACGGUACCUAACCAGAAAGCCACGGCUAACUACGUGCCAGCAGCCGCGGUAAUACGUAGGUGGCAAGCGUUGUCCGGAAUUAUUGGGCGUAAAGCGCGCGCAGGCGGUUUCUUAAGUCUGAUGUGAAAGCCCCCGGCUCAACCGGGGAGGGUCAUUGGAAACUGGGGAACUUGAGUGCAGAAGAGGAGAGUGGAAUUCCACGUGUAGCGGUGAAAUGCGUAGAGAUGUGGAGGAACACCAGUGGCGAAGGCGACUCUCUGGUCUGUAACUGACGCUGAGGCGCGAAAGCGUGGGGAGCGAACAGGAUUAGAUACCCUGGUAGUCCACGCCGUAAACGAUGAGUGCUAAGUGUUAGAGGGUUUCCGCCCUUUAGUGCUGCAGCAAACGCAUUAAGCACUCCGCCUGGGGAGUACGGUCGCAAGACUGAAACUCAAAGGAAUUGACGG
Molecule: ribosomal RNA, 548 nt
Filed under: uncultured bacterium
Lineage: Bacteria
Description: bacterial SSU rRNA
Rfam family: Bacterial small subunit ribosomal RNA
Source: RNAcentral